CUUGCUUAUUCAUCUCCGACAAAGCCGUUUCCUCUCCGACAAAGUCGUUUCCUCUCCUACAACCAUCGCAGUUACACGUUUUCUCCUCCUUCUUUGUUGAAAAACGAAAGUCUCCUUCAAGAUAUGGCUACAAGUUGGUUUAUCUGAACGAGGAAGGGGCCAUGGACGAGGAAGGGGUCGUGGACGAGGAAGGGUAGAACCACAAGUAAGUGCAAGAAAGUUAAACUUUGAUGACAUUGACUUUGAUGAGGAGCAUAGUGAAAGUGAUUCUAAAUAUACCUGUCAAAGUGAUGAAGAGCCAUCCCCCGAGAAAAAAGAGGUUCCUAAAAGAGCCAAGGUGGUUGCUAAUGUGUAAAGAGAUAAUACUAGCACUAAGGGGGGUAUGACGAAGGCCGCUAACACGGUUAUUCAAACACGCUCUCAGGAGAUGAAUAAAAAGCCUCCUAAUCAGAACUGUGCUGUUGAGGCCCUUGGAAGGAUAUUAGGAGGGUUCGAUGGUAGGAAAAGGAAGUUAGUUAAGGAGAUGUGGCUAUGUACAAGGGUAGAUGUGGCUCUCAAGUCUUUUAUGUCUCCAGACGGGGUCCAGUUUCCUCUAAACCCCAUUCAAGUCCAUUGGGUUCUUGGGAUUCCAAUGGGACCGAGACCGGUCCCUACUAAAACUGUGGAUGAGAAUCUUGAAAAAUAGCUUAUUACUAAGUACCGGACUGUACACACGAAAGGUGGUGGCAUAACCAAAAAGACUUUGAUGGAAUAUGUCGAGGGUCCCUAUGAAGAUGAUAACAAGUUCAAGAGACUCCUUUUGAUGCUUGCUUUAGACUCGGUACUUACUCCCACCACAUGUCAUCGGCUGAGUAUGAAAUUUUUCCACUGUGUUGCUGUUGCUCAUGAAGCCUCUGAGUAUGACUGGUUUAGUCUUGUCCUUGAACAAUUGUUGCAUGCUGUUGGAAGCUUUAGUAAACGGUUCUACGCAGAUGGUUAUGCUAGAGGAUGUGGUGGAUGCUUAAUAUUUCUGGCAAUCUUUUACCUAGAUCGACUUAAGAGACCGCCUGUUAAUUGGGGUGUGUUUCCAAGAAUGAGGGUAUGGACAAUAGAAGAGAUGAACAAGGCACAAAAUCUGGAUCGUCUUCCAUCCCGGGAUUAUGGGUGUGUAGGGGAACUCGUGAGUGAUCCGUAGCAGGAUCAAACUAAUCUAUGUGUGAGGUGUUCUUUAAUCAAGUUUUCAGGAACUUGAUGUGAUGAUGUGACAUGCUUGCAUACGGGAUUAAUGGAGAGUUCACUAGUUAGGAUUUAUUUUUCUAAGUUGGUUUCAUUUGUGAGUUCAGAUUUUAGUAUUUUAAUUUCAAGGGUUUAUUCAAUAUACACUA
Molecule: RNA transcript, 1364 nt
Organism: Spinacia oleracea (spinach)
Lineage: Eukaryota; Viridiplantae; Streptophyta; Magnoliopsida; Caryophyllales; Amaranthaceae
Exons: 9
Source: RefSeq, a predicted model, not a curated record